CCUACGGGAGGCAGCAGUGGGGAAUAUUGCACAAUGGGGGGAACCCUGAUGCAGCAACGCCGCGUGGGUGAAGAAGUACUUCGGUAUGUAAAGCCCUGUCAGCAGGGAAGAAAAUGCCGGUACCUGACCAAGAAGCCCCGGCUAACUACGUGCCAGCAGCCGCGGUAAUACGGAGGGGGCAAGCGUUAGCCGGAUUUACUGGGUGUAAAGGGAGCGUAGACGGCAAGGCAAGUCUGGAGUGAAAGCCCGUGGCUCAACCACGGGACUGCGUGGGAAACUGGGAUGCUGGAGUGCAGGAGGGGUAAGUGGAAUUCCUAGUGUAGCGGUGAAAUGCGUAGAUAUUAGGAGGAACACCAGUGGCGAAGGCGGCUUACUGGACUGUAACUGACGUUGAGGCUCGAAGGCGUGGGGAGCAAACAGAAUUAGAUACCCGGGUAGUC
This 440-nucleotide ribosomal RNA is filed under the name uncultured bacterium. Its description in RNAcentral is "partial 16S ribosomal RNA". It matches the Rfam family "Bacterial small subunit ribosomal RNA", at positions 338 to 795 of the family's 1533-position model. The record is from RNAcentral.